Molecule: small nuclear RNA, 120 nt
Organism: Salvia splendens (bonfire salvia)
Lineage: Eukaryota; Viridiplantae; Streptophyta; Magnoliopsida; Lamiales; Lamiaceae
Product: U5 spliceosomal RNA
Exons: 1
Source: RefSeq, a predicted model, not a curated record
AGUCUCGCAUUGAGCACAAAGUGAACUAUUCUUUCGCCUUUUACUAAAGAAUACCGUGUGCUCGUUGCAAAUAAGAGGCAUACAUCAAUUUUUGGAGGGGAUUUGCUCUUUGAAGUAAUU